GGGAGGGAAAGGAGAGAAGGUCAGCCCUCCCCUUGACAAGGAUGCAAGAGGUCCUAAUGUCCUUACAACACAUAUAUGUUUUUUAUAAUGUGCUACAGUUAUUUACUGACAUUAAAAUAAUAAAAUAAGGUUGUAU
Molecule: non-coding RNA, 136 nt
Filed under: Erpetoichthys calabaricus (reedfish)
Lineage: Eukaryota; Metazoa; Chordata; Cladistia; Polypteriformes; Polypteridae
Source: RNAcentral